UUGGUGGGGUGAUGGCCUACCAAGGCGACGACGGGUAGCCGGCCUGAGAGGGUGUCCGGCCACACUGGGACUGAGAUACGGCCCAGACUCCUACGGGAGGCAGCAGUGGGGAAUAUUGCACAAUGGGCGCAAGCCUGAUGCAGCGACGCCGCGUGGGGGAUGACGGCCUUCGGGUUGUAAACCUCUUUCACCAUCGGCGAAGCCCAUAGCUUGUGUUGUGGGUGACGGUAGGUGGAGAAGAAGCACCGGCCAACUACGUGCCAGCAGCCGCGGUAAUACGUAGGGUGCGAGCGUUGUCCGGAAUUACUGGGCGUAAAGAGCUCGUAGGUGGUUUGUCGCGUUGUCCGUGAAAUUCCCUGGCUUAACUGGGGGCGUGCGGGCGAUACGGGCAGACUGGAGUACUGCAGGGGAGACUGGAAUUCCUGGUGUAGCGGUGGAAUGCGCAGAUAUCAGGAGGAACACCGGUGGCGAAGGCGGGUCUCUGGGCAGUAACUGACGCUGAGGAGCGAAAGCGUGGGGAGCGAACAGGAUUAGAUACCCUGGUAGUCCACGCCAUAAACGGUGGGUACUAGGUGUGGGUUUCCUUCCUUGGGAUCCGUGCCGUAGCUAACGCAUUAAGUACCCCGCCUGGGGAGUACGGC
RNAcentral lists this ribosomal RNA (641 nucleotides) under uncultured bacterium. RNAcentral describes it as "bacterial SSU rRNA". It matches the Rfam family "Bacterial small subunit ribosomal RNA", at positions 249 to 886 of the family's 1533-position model. The record is from RNAcentral.